Molecule: transfer RNA, 73 nt
Filed under: Stegodyphus mimosarum
Lineage: Eukaryota; Metazoa; Arthropoda; Arachnida; Araneae; Eresidae
Rfam family: tRNA
About the family: Transfer RNA (tRNA) molecules are approximately 80 nucleotides in length.
Source: Rfam by way of RNAcentral
GCCUUCGUGGUGUAGUGAUCAGCACGCUUGGCGCGUAAUCGAGAGGUCAGUGGUUCGAUUCCGGGCGAGGGCA